Long non-coding RNA from Cercocebus atys (sooty mangabey), 775 nucleotides. RefSeq lists it as uncharacterized. The transcript has 2 exons. NCBI's taxonomy places the organism in Eukaryota, Metazoa, Chordata, Mammalia, Primates, Cercopithecidae. The record is from RefSeq and is a predicted model, not a curated record.
UUUCUUACGUACUUUGGCCUCAUGUUUAAUUAUUUAGCUCUCCUAAAUUAAAUUAAAUUAAAUUAAAACAGUUAUUAUUGAACAUGAUACAGUACUGUUGAACAUGGUACAUGAACCUGAACAGUACUAUUUCAUGUGAAUCUCCUCCAAGGCUUCUUUUCAUUUUACAUCUCACGCUGUAAUUCUUGGAGAGUAUGUAUGCUGUAGCUCGAGUGCAGAAUUCUCAUCAGUUUUAUCUUGGUAUCUCUCCUAAACACUUUACCGGGUGAAGAGCCUGGCACACACAUAAAUGUAUAUUGAAUGAAUCAGUGAUGGAAUGAAAGGAGAAAUGAUGGAUCUCCUAAAUUUUAACUUUUAUAAAAUAUUUUGAUAUAUUCAUGACCUUACUUUAGCAAGCAAUGUACUGAACAUGAUGUAAACUAUUGUUGAUGUAGUGCUUAUAUUGGAAGUGUAAGUAGUUUGUGGCAUGGGAUUGUGACAUAUCCUAGGUUUCCUCAUCUUUUUAUUGAAAUGUCAUUCACAUGCCAUAAAAUCUGCCCUUUUAAAGUAUAUGAUGCUGUGGAUUUUAGUAUAUUUACAGAGUUGUGCAAUCAUCACCACUAUCUAAUUCCAGGAACAUUUCCAUCUACCUAGAAAGAAGCUCCAUACCAGUGAGCUGCCACUCUAAUCCUCCUCUAGAAACAAAUAAUCCAUUUUCUGUCUCUUAUGAUUUGCCUGUUCUGAAUAGUUUAUAAAAAUAAACAUGUGGCCUUUCAUGUCUGACUUCCUUCACUUA